This 468-nucleotide ribosomal RNA is filed under the name uncultured bacterium. RNAcentral describes it as "partial 16S ribosomal RNA". It matches the Rfam family "Bacterial small subunit ribosomal RNA", at positions 28 to 507 of the family's 1533-position model. The record is from RNAcentral.
GACGAACGCUGGCGGCGUGCUUAACACAUGCAAGUCGAACGGAAAGGCCCUGCUUUUGUGGGGUGCUCGAGUGGCGAACGGGUGAGUAACACGUGAGUAACCUGCCCUUGCCUUUGGGAUAACUUCAGGAAACUGGGGCUAAUACCGGAUAUGAGCUCCUGCUGCAUGGUGGGGGUUGGAAAGCUUCGGCGGUUGGGGAUGGACUCGCGGCCUAUCAGCUUGUUGGUGGGGUAGUGGCUUACCAAGGCUUUGACGGGUAGCCGGCCUGAGAGGGUGACCGGCCACAUUGGGACUGAGAUACGGCCAAGACUCCUACGGGAGGCAGCAGUGGGGAAUAUUGCACAAUGGGCGGAAGCCUGAUGCAGCAACGCCGCGUGCGGGAUGACGGCCUUCGGGUUGUAACCCGCUUUCGCCUGUGACGAAGCGUGAGUGACGGUAAUGGGUAAAGAAGCACCGGCUAACUACGUG